UAGGGAAUAUUGGUAAUGUGCGAAAGCGCGAACCAGCAACGCCGCGUGCACGAUGAAGGCCUUCGGGUUGUAAAGUGCUUUUAGAGAGGAUGAGGAAGGACAGUACUUUCUGAAUAAGCCUCGGCUAACUACGUGCCAGCAGCCGCGGUAAAACGUAGGAGGCUAGCGUUAUCCGGAUUUACUGGGCGUAAAGCGCGUGCAGGUGGUUUCGUAAGUUGGAUGUGAAAGCUCCUGGCUCAACUGGGAGAGGUCGUUCAAAACUGCGAGGCUUGAGAGUGGUAGAGGGAGGUGGAAUUCCCGGUGUAGUGGUAAAAUACGUAGAGAUCGGGAGGAACACCAGCGGCGCAGGCGGCUCACUAGACAGUUUCUGACGCUAAGAUACGAAAGCGUGGGGAGCAAACA
Molecule: ribosomal RNA, 402 nt
Filed under: uncultured prokaryote
Description: bacterial SSU rRNA
Rfam family: Bacterial small subunit ribosomal RNA
Source: RNAcentral